UACGGAGGGAGCUAGCGUUGUUCGGAAUUACUGGGCGUAAAGCGCGCGUAGGCGGCUUUGUAAGUUAGAGGUGAAAGCCCGGGGCUCAACCCCGGAACUGCCUUUAAAACUGCAUCGCUUGAAUCCGGGAGAGGUGAGUGGAAUUCCGAGUGUAGAGGUGAAAUUCGUAGAUAUUCGGAAGAACACCAGUGGCGAAGGCGGCUGCACUGGAC
Molecule: ribosomal RNA, 212 nt
Filed under: uncultured bacterium
Lineage: Bacteria
Description: partial 16S ribosomal RNA
Rfam family: Bacterial small subunit ribosomal RNA
Source: RNAcentral